Molecule: ribosomal RNA, 505 nt
Filed under: uncultured bacterium
Lineage: Bacteria
Description: bacterial SSU rRNA
Rfam family: Bacterial small subunit ribosomal RNA
Source: RNAcentral
UCAGGAUGAACGCUAGCUACAGGCUUAACACAUGCAAGUCGAGGGGCAGCAUGUUGGUUGCUUGCAACCAAUGAUGGCGACCGGCGCACGGGUGAGUAACGCGUAUCCAACCUUCCCCUAGUAGAGGAUAGCCGGCGAAAGUCGGAUUAAUACUCUAUGUUCUUCAAUGCGGACAUCUAAGUUGAAGCAAAGAUUUAUCGCUAAGGGAUGGGGAUGCGUCUGAUUAGGUUGCAGGCGGGGUAACGGCCACCUGGCCUACGAUCAGUAGGGGUUCUGAGAGGAAGGUCCCCCACACUGGUACUGAGACACGGACCAGACUCCUACGGGAGGCAGCAGUGAGGAAUAUUGGUCAAUGGGCGCGAGCCUGAACCAGCCAAGUAGCGUGCAGGGAACCGACUGCCCUAUGGGUUGUAAACUGCUUUUAUCAGGGAAUAAAGUGAGGCACGCGUGCCUUUUUGUAUGUACCUGAUGAAUAAGGACCGGCUAAUUCCGUGCCAGCAGCUGC